This 527-nucleotide ribosomal RNA is filed under the name uncultured bacterium. RNAcentral describes it as "bacterial SSU rRNA". It matches the Rfam family "Bacterial small subunit ribosomal RNA", at positions 28 to 526 of the family's 1533-position model. The record is from RNAcentral.
GACGAACGCUGGCGGCGCGCCUAACACAUGCAAGUCGAACGGAGCGUACUGUGUGAAGCCCUUCGGGGUAGAACUUUGUAUUGCUUAGUGGCGAACGGGUGAGUAACACGUGAGCAACCCACCCUAGAGUGGGGGACAACAUCUGGAAACGGAUGCUAAUACCGCAUAAGACCACGAGGUCACAUGACCUUGAGGCCAAAGGAUUUAUUCGCUUUAGGAUGGGCUCGCGCCUGAUUAGCUAGUUGGUAAGGUAACGGCUUACCAAGGCAACGAUCAGUAGCCGGACUGAGAGGUCGAUCGGCCACAUUGGGACUGAGACACGGCCCAGACUCCUACGGGAGGCAGCAGUAGGGAAUCUUCGGCAAUGGACGAAAGUCUGACCGAGCAACGCCGCGUGAGUGAAGAAGGUUUUCGGAUCGUAAAACUCUGUUGUUAGAGAAGAACAAGUAGGAGAGUAACUGCUCUUACCUUGACGGUAUCUAACCAGAAAGCCACGGCUAACUACGUGCCAGCAGCCGCCGUAAAAC